Drosophila melanogaster (fruit fly) is the source of this 140-nucleotide small nucleolar RNA. Lineage: Eukaryota; Metazoa; Arthropoda; Insecta; Diptera; Drosophilidae. The record is from Ensembl.
GAAAAAUCCAGAACUUCGAUGGUGAACAUCAUGAAGUAUGUCGAGCAGGAAUCUCAGUGAGUACCACUUAAGGAAUAUAUAGGGUUGUUUACUCGGGCGUCCUUACGGGAUUUGGUAAAUAUUUCAACCUGAAAUGAUUA